Molecule: ribosomal RNA, 464 nt
Filed under: Vreelandella stevensii
Lineage: Bacteria; Pseudomonadati; Pseudomonadota; Gammaproteobacteria; Oceanospirillales; Halomonadaceae
Description: partial 16S ribosomal RNA
Rfam family: Bacterial small subunit ribosomal RNA
Source: RNAcentral
CCUACGGGUGGCAGCAGUGGGGAAUAUUGGACAAUGGGGGGAACCCUGAUCCAGCCAUGCCGCGUGUGUGAAGAAGGCCCUCGGGUUGUAAAGCACUUUCAGUGAGGAAGAACGCCUGGUGGUUAAUACCCAUCAGGAAAGACAUCACUCACAGAAGAAGCACCGGCUAACUCCGUGCCAGCAGCCGCGGUAAUACGGAGGGUGCGAGCGUUAAUCGGAAUUACUGGGCGUAAAGCGCGCGUAGGUGGCUUGAUAAGCCGGUUGUGAAAGCCCCGGGCUCAACCUGGGAACGGCAUCCGGAACUGUCAAGCUAGAGUGCAGGAGAGGAAGGUAGAAUUCCCGGUGUAGCGGUGAAAUGCGUAGAGAUCGGGAGGAAUACCAGUGGCGAAGGCGGCCUUCUGGACUGACACUGACACUGAGGUGCGAAGCGUGGGUAGCAAACAGGAUUAGAUACCCCAGUAGUC